This 349-nucleotide long non-coding RNA is filed under the name Mytilus galloprovincialis (Mediterranean mussel). The record is from RNAcentral. Lineage: Eukaryota; Metazoa; Mollusca; Bivalvia; Mytilida; Mytilidae.
GAAACGGGGAAAUGCGAGGCUGUGCCGAGCAUUUUCCCCGUUUCGGGCCGAAUCCUUAUAUCGUUGAUAUGUCAAGUCAAUGCACUAUUAUUGUCUUUAUACUGCAAUCUAAAAAAACAUUUUCAAUUGUUGUUUAUUGUGUUAAUGUUAUUUAUUUGAUUUAAAUAUUGGGAAAAAUCCCCCUUUAAAAAGGCCUCAUAUCACACAGACGGAGAAAUAUAAAACACGAUGAAAUGUACAUCAUUACCGCAAUCAAUGAUGAACGAAUUCGUUGCAGACUUAAAUAUCAUCAAUAAACAUAAAACAUAAUGAUUUAUAGGUUGCAAACAAAAAAAUAUUAAUAAGUGAA